RNAcentral lists this ribosomal RNA (505 nucleotides) under uncultured bacterium. Its description in RNAcentral is "bacterial SSU rRNA". It matches the Rfam family "Bacterial small subunit ribosomal RNA", at positions 1 to 526 of the family's 1533-position model. The record is from RNAcentral.
CAGUAAGAGUUUGAUCAUGGCUCAGAUUGAACGCUGGCGGCGUGCUUAACACAUGCAAGUCGAGCGGUAACAGGCGUAGCAAUACGUGCUGACGAGCGGCGAACGGGUGCGUAAUACAUGGGAAUCUGCCCUUUGGUGGGGAAUAACCCGGCGAAAGCCGGGCUAAUGCCGCAUGAGAUCUUCGGAUGAAAGCGGGGGAUCGUAAGACCUCGCGCCGAUGGAUGAGCCCAUGUCGGAUUAGCUAGUUGGUGAGGUAACGGCUCACCAAGGCGACGAUCCGUAGCUGGUCUGAGAGGACGGCCAGCCACACUGGGACUGAGACACGGCCCAGACUCCUACGGGAGGCAGCAGUGGGGAAUAUUGGACAAUGGGCGAAAGCCUGAUCCAGCGACGCCGCGUGUGUGAUGAAGGCCUUAGGGUUGUAAAGCUCUUUUGUCGGGGACGAUAAUGACGGUACCCGAAGAAUAAGCUCCGGCUAACUUCGUGCCAGCCGCCGCGGUAAUUC